Molecule: ribosomal RNA, 442 nt
Filed under: uncultured bacterium
Lineage: Bacteria
Description: partial 16S ribosomal RNA
Rfam family: Bacterial small subunit ribosomal RNA
Source: RNAcentral
CCUACGGGUGGCAGCAGUGGGGAAUAUUGCGCAAUGGGCGAAAGCCUGACGCAGCGACGCCGCGUGAGGGAUGAAGGCUUUCGGGUUGUAAACUUCUUUGACAGGGGAAGAGCAGAAGACGGUACCCUGAAAACAAGCCACGGCUAACUACGUGCCAGCAGCCGCGGUAAUACGUAGGUGGCAAGCGUUGUCCGGAUUUACUGGGUGUAAAGGGCGUGUAGCCGGGAAGGCAAGUCAGAUGUGAAAUCUGGAGGCUCAACCUCCAAAUUGCAUUUGAAACUGUUUUUCUUGAGUACUGGAGAGGCAGACGGAAUUCCUUGUGUAGCGGUGAAAUGCGUAGAUAUAAGGAGGAACACCAGUGGCGAAGGCGGUCUGCUGGACAGCAACUGACGGUGAGGCGCGAAAGCGUGGGGAGCAAACAGGAUUAGAUACCCGAGUAGUC